UAUUACUUUUAUUUAGCAAGGAUGCUUUAUAUUGAUAAAGAGUGAUGAUAAAGACAUUUAAAAAAAUCUGCUCAGCUGUUUUCAACAUAAAAAUAAAAAUAAAAGUUUUCUGAGCCACAAAUCAGAAUAUCAGAAUGAUUUCUGAAGGAUCAUGUGACUGGAGUAAUGAUGAUAAAAAUUCAGCUUUGAAAUCACAGAAAUAAAUUGCAUUUUAAAAUAGAAAAGUCAUUAUAAAAAUAUUUAAAAAUUGUACUGUUUUUGCUGUUCUUUGGAACAAAUAAAUGCAGCUUUAGUGGGCAGAAGAGACUUCUUUUAAAAAAACAUUCAAAAUCUGACUGUUCAGAAACUACAUAUAAUUACAUAUAAUUUUUUUUUUCCAUUAAAGAUGACUAUCAACCAGGCUCUGUAAAGCAGACCAAUAACUGACCCAGUGUGCUCUUUGCCCUCAGGAUGUGCCAGAGUUUUGACCUCUGUCUGGUUUAUAUUACUCUCUGGGGCAGUUUACUCUACAGGGAGUUUGGUUGACAGGCGAUCUGACCAAUCAAAACGCUGAAUCUGGCAUUUUUGUCUGACAAACAAACCAGACAUGGGAGUAGAUUAACGUCGAUGGACUUGAACUUAAAACAUGGUUACGCUCCUGUUGUAGCAGACUGGUACCAGAGAUUCGAGGAGACCGCUGGCCUGAUGCCAGGGCACACUGGGAGUCCGUGCAGGGGAGACGCUCCGACGCCACCCUGCUGAGAUCCGGUACUGACUCAGUAAAACUGAAAGAUUGCUGACAUCAUCAUCUGUCAGCUCAGCAUUGAUUCAUUCUGGAGCAGGAAUGGGGUGGAAUGGGCCACACAGGGAAUGACAGACGCUUAACCCUUACCUCUCCAGGUGACCUCACAUUUGUG
Long non-coding RNA from Labeo rohita (rohu), 896 nucleotides. RefSeq lists it as uncharacterized. NCBI's taxonomy places the organism in Eukaryota, Metazoa, Chordata, Actinopteri, Cypriniformes, Cyprinidae. The transcript has 4 exons. The record is from RefSeq and is a predicted model, not a curated record.